RNAcentral lists this long non-coding RNA (992 nucleotides) under Monodelphis domestica (gray short-tailed opossum). RNAcentral describes it as "lncRNA (ENSMODG00000048799.1)". Lineage: Eukaryota; Metazoa; Chordata; Mammalia; Didelphimorphia; Didelphidae. The record is from RNAcentral.
AAUGUCACCCAACUGAUUUAGAUUAGCAAUGGUUCUUCACUUUGUACCCACUGAGAAUUAAAGGACCACUGAAACAUUUGCCUGAGGUCACACAUCCAACAUGGUGUAGUAGAUACCACUUUUAGGGGAAUUAUGGUAAUAGGAAAUGCUACAGUUCUAACACCAGGAAGCCAACUAGGGGAAAGACUGGAUCUUGUGCUCCUCCCCCUACACUACUUCCUGUUCCCCUUCAACUGUCUUGAAUGUUCUUCUCAGAAAUGUUCAAGCCAGAGAAAUUAGACAUGUGAAGGCCACAAAUGAACAACAUGGCAGAGGCCAGGCGAUAGAGGGCAGGUCUUCAUGUCAGGAUGAGUCUGAUUCAAGUCAUCUCUCUGGCAAAUAAUCCCUGUUUGACCUUGGCCAAGUCCAAAUCAAACCUCUAAGGGCCCCCAGCAACUACCUAAGCAGCCGCUGCUCGUAAAAUCUGAGUCUCCACUUUACUUUGGUCAAGGAACAGAGGAGGGCUAUGAAGCAUCCCUUCAGUGCCAAAGUCAAAAAGAGAAGAAAUGGAAUUUUCUCAGUACAUGGUACCUCCACACCAACUCUAUUUGAAACUGCAUUCAGUUCCAGAUGAAGCCUGGAGUCCAAUGGUCACCAAAGGAUCUCUCCUGUAUUGAAGGUUUCCCCUAUGCUCUGCCCACAGCAAGCUCUGUUGGCAUAUUUUGUCCCUAUCAUUCUGGGGCAAUAAGCAAAAGAACUCAACUCUAUAUAUCCCUUUGAAGAGGAGGGGGAAAUAUAGGAAAGUUUCAUCUGUAAGAGAAGAAAUCAGAUCCCCCAUGACCAAGGAGCAACCCAAGCUGGAGAAGGGCAAGGAAGACCCAAGAUUCCAGGAAAAUAACAGAUGAGCUGUGAGGAUUCAAAAAAAGUUACUUCACUUCUUCUUGGGAGCUCUCCUAGAGUGGAUAGUCUGAGAGGAAGCCUCUGAAAUAAAGAGUUUCUUUGGACAUUGAUCA